UGAGAGAAGGCUCUUUCUUUUCUACUCGUUGUAGAGUAUGUCAUUACUGGUCUUUCUUUGGCUUUAGCUCUUCAGGAAGAUUUCCCCCAAGUUUAUAAUUUGCUAUUUUACUAGAUCGAGAUGCUUAGUAACUCGAAAGAUAGGACUUUAUCUCUUCUACUUCGUCUAAAGCCUGUGCUGACUGUGUCGCUACUGCAAGGGAGAAAUGCUCAGAAUCUAAUGACAAUAUGGGAGUUGUUCCUUUUGUAUACCUUCGGGUAUAAAGGUAAGAUCUCUCACGUGUCACUAUUAAUAAGGAGCACCUGAAGGUAACCCGAUCAGAAUCCUAAUCCGAAGCUUGUCCGUAUGAGUGGUAUGGGUAAACCCAAGUCUUACGAUUAGUACUUUUACCAAUGUCUGGUGUUUGGAAAACCUUUUCGUAAGCCUUAGGAAUUCAAAAUGCGGGGAAUAAAUGCCUUUCUCUUUUCUCUUUCAACGAAAACACCCUAAGCUCGCGGGUUGGGUACACAGAAAGACAAAGGCUUGACGACCUACCUAAUUAGCUAGACGAACUUCCCGAUACAGGCUUCCCCCAGUCCCAGGUCUGAAGCCGGACAUUGAUUGACUCAUUGAGUCCGAGAUAGGC
RNAcentral lists this long non-coding RNA (625 nucleotides) under Panax ginseng (ginseng). RNAcentral's name for it is "long non-coding RNA (PGIN_LNC009641)". The record is from RNAcentral. Lineage: Eukaryota; Viridiplantae; Streptophyta; Magnoliopsida; Apiales; Araliaceae.